AAAGGGCACACUUUAGUCUCCGUCACGUGUUACACGCGAGCAAAACCUCUCAGAUGAAAGGGGAAAAAUCUAAUCAUCCAGGAGACCUCUGCAAGCAAAUACUGCUAGUUAGCAAAGUGCUUCAUGCAUGAAGAAUGCUUCUGGAUGCCCAAGGACAGGAGGCAGGGUAUAAAAGUCCAUGCGUCUCCAGGCCUGCCAAACACUGCCCUUGCGGCCAUCUCCUCAGUCGCCUAGCUCUGCCUCCCUCGCCGAGAGAUGUCUUGCUACAGACCCUGCCUCCCUUACCCCUGCGGACCAGCCCCCCUUGCAAACAGCUGCAAUGAGUCUUGCGUUCUGCGGUGCGCUGACUCCACCACCGUCAUCGAACCCCCCCCGGUGGUGGUCACCCUGCCGGGCCCCAUCCUCACCUCUUUCCCUCAGAGCACAGCCGUGGGGUCCGCUCUGUCAGCUGCUGUUGGGAGUUCCCUCAGCACUGGAGGGGUCCCCGUCUCUUCCGGGGGAGCCCUUGGCUUUGGAAGAUUCACAGGCCUUGGGAGCGGUCUGUGUGGGCCCCUGCGUUCCUGCCACCUGUACUAGUAGGGCCAGCGGAUCGCUCACCUUGGGAAGAACAACCAGGAAUGGAGAAACGAGAUCUGGACCCAGGACCCAGGAGAUGCCGGGUGUUCCCAGCGUAUGAGAUACCUGCCUCAUCCUCAUGCUCUAACUGGAAGGGAGCCAUGUGUCAUCCCUUGACACCACGCCCUUCUUGCUCUUAGUCUUCCUUUGCUUUCUCUGCUACUGCCAGGCAGCCCACGCAUCCUCGCUGCUGGGCUUCAAAGCUUUUGCUGAUGACCAGGGCAACAUACUCCACCCACCCCUGCUGUGGGUGGCAGGUUAUUCUCACCAUCUGCGGCUGCAAUGGAGAGAAAAGAGCGCCUUGCAUGCCACUGCAAAAAGUGAUGUCCUCUUGCCCUGGGAAGCCCUGGGCCUCUCACGCUCAGUGUUCUUCCACCUUCCUUUAAAAUUUAAACUUUGUCUUCUCAUUAAAAAAAUGUUGCAUCCCA
Molecule: long non-coding RNA, 1043 nt
Organism: Columba livia (rock pigeon)
Lineage: Eukaryota; Metazoa; Chordata; Aves; Columbiformes; Columbidae
Exons: 2
Source: RefSeq, a predicted model, not a curated record